Anguilla anguilla (European eel) is the source of this 640-nucleotide long non-coding RNA. RefSeq lists it as uncharacterized. NCBI's taxonomy places the organism in Eukaryota, Metazoa, Chordata, Actinopteri, Anguilliformes, Anguillidae. The transcript is spliced from 3 exons. The record is from RefSeq and is a predicted model, not a curated record.
UGUUCCGUGGCCUUUCAGAAGACGAACCAAAGUUUCUCUCCUGAUUCACACCGGCGUCGCUGCCCGUCGCUGACCGUCAUCCUGUGGAUUUCUCAUCCCCGGCGGUAACUCCGCGCGCCGCGGGGGGUUCCGUUUCCGAGUUCGUGAAGUUGCCAUGGCGGCGAGGCGGACCCUUAACUCCCAGGGUUCUGGAAUAGGAACCCGGCCGAGGCUGAGUGAAGCCCAGGGAGCUCAAGAAGACCUGAGACAAGAUGAAGUUCCAGAAGAUGAUGGUGAUGGAGGUGUUGGCGGUUACGAUGCCGAUCAUGAUGGGGUGCAGCAUGUUGACUGAGUGUGGCUGAACUCUUCCUGGAUCGCGCUUUCUGCCUGGGUUGUCCUUCGCCUUGGCCUCGGUGCUGAUCUUCUUGGAGAAGACCUCGGUGAGGAUGAAGGCCCAGUACAAGAUGGUGAUGGAGGUGUUGGCGGUGACGAUGGCGAUCAUGACCGGGUGCAGCAUGUUGGCGGGACGGGGUGCGCUCUCUGCUCUGUCCCGGGGUCGCUGGGCUCCUCCGCUUUUUGGCGUCUGAGUGAGUGCGGGUCCCUCCCUCUCUGGCUCUCCAAUAAUGAGCCUUUCCUCACCCCUAACACCACCCCGCCCUGC